GACGAACGCUGGCGGCGUGCUUAACACAUGCAAGUCGAACGGAAAGGCCCUGCUUUUGUGGGGUGCUCGAGUGGCGAACGGGUGAGUAACACGUGAGUAACCUGCCCUUGACUUUGGGAUAACUUCAGGAAACUGGGGCUAAUACCGGAUAGGAGCUCCUGCUGCAUGGUGGGGGUUGGAAAGUUUCUGCGGUUGGGGAUGGACUCGCGGCUUAUCAGCUUGUUGGUGGGGUAGUGGCUUACCAAGGCUUUGACGGGUAACCGGCCUGAGAGGGUGACCGGCCACAUUGGGACUGAGAUACGGCCCAGACUCCUACGGGAGGCAGCAGUGGGGAAUAUUGCACAAUGGGCGGAAGCCUGAUGCAGCAACGCCGCGUGCGGGAUGACGGCCUUCGGGUUGUAAACCGCUUUCGCCUGUGACGAAGCUGGAGUGACGGUAAUGGGUAAAGAAGCACCGGCUAACUACGUG
RNAcentral lists this ribosomal RNA (468 nucleotides) under uncultured bacterium. RNAcentral's name for it is "partial 16S ribosomal RNA". It matches the Rfam family "Bacterial small subunit ribosomal RNA", at positions 28 to 507 of the family's 1533-position model. The record is from RNAcentral.